CUGAGGUCGGUAAACUCAGGAAGACGGCUGAAGACGAUGCUGAUUUGAGCCAAAGCAAGGAAUCAGAUUCAUAGAGAUCUGGAUCCAGAUUCAGUUCCUAUUUCAUCCUGGACCUGUGGCCACUAGAAGCCCUGAGAUGUGCUUCUUAGGUACUCUGGAACUGGCUUACCAGUAUUUAGAAGGGCACAUCAUUGUGAGCCAGAAUGACAGAGGGCUCAAAA
Neogale vison (American mink) is the source of this 221-nucleotide long non-coding RNA. RefSeq lists it as uncharacterized. The transcript has 3 exons. The record is from RefSeq and is a predicted model, not a curated record. Lineage: Eukaryota; Metazoa; Chordata; Mammalia; Carnivora; Mustelidae.